GCCAGACUCCUACGGGAGGCAGCAGUGGGGGAUAUUGCACAAUGGGGGGAACCCUGAUGCAGCGACGCCGCGUGGGUGAAGAAGUAUUUCGGUAUGUAAAGCCCUAUCGGCAGGGAAGAAAUUGGACGGUACCUGACUAAGAAGCCCCGGCUAACUACGUGCCAGCAGCCGCGGUAAUACGUAGGGGGCAAGCGUUAUCCGGAUUCACUGGGUGUAAAGGGAGCGUAGACGGCCAUGCAAGCCUGGAGUGAAAGCCCGGGGCCCAACCCCGGGACUGCUCUGGGAACUGUGCGGCUGGAGUGCGGGAGGGGCAGGCGGAAUUCCUGGUGUAGCGGUGAAAUGCGUAGAUAUCAGGAGGAACACCGGCGGCGAAGGCGGCCUGCUGGACCGCGACUGACGUUGAGGCUCGAAAGCGUGGGGAGCAAACAGGAUUAGAUACCCCAGUAC
RNAcentral lists this ribosomal RNA (447 nucleotides) under uncultured bacterium. RNAcentral describes it as "bacterial SSU rRNA". It matches the Rfam family "Bacterial small subunit ribosomal RNA", at positions 330 to 793 of the family's 1533-position model. The record is from RNAcentral.